This 430-nucleotide ribosomal RNA is filed under the name Bacillota bacterium. RNAcentral describes it as "Firmicutes bacterium partial 16S ribosomal RNA". It matches the Rfam family "Bacterial small subunit ribosomal RNA", at positions 355 to 776 of the family's 1533-position model. The record is from RNAcentral. Lineage: Bacteria; Bacillati; Bacillota.
UGGGGAAUAUUGGACAAUGGGGGGAACCCUGAUCCAGCCAUGCCGCGUGUGUGAAGAAGGCCUUAUGGUUGUAAAGCACUUUAAGCGAGGAGGAGGCUCUCUUGGUUAAUACCCAAGAAGAGUGGACGUUACUCGCAGAAUAAGCACCGGCUAACUCUGUGCCAGCAGCCGCGGUAAUACAGAGGGUGCGAGCGGUAAUCGGAUUUACUGGGCGUAAAGCGUGCGUAGGCGGCUUUUUAAGUCGGAUGUGAAAUCCCCGAGCUUAACUUGGGAAUUGCAUUCGAUACUGGGAAGCUAGAGUAUGGGAGAGGAUGGUAGAAUUCCAGGUGUAGCGGUGAAAUGCGUAGAGAUCUGGAGGAAUACCGAUGGCGAAGGCAGCCAUCUGGCCUAAUACUGACGCUGAGGUACGAAAGCAUGGGGAGCAAACAGG